Molecule: ribosomal RNA, 119 nt
Filed under: Pteropus alecto (black flying fox)
Lineage: Eukaryota; Metazoa; Chordata; Mammalia; Chiroptera; Pteropodidae
Source: RNAcentral
GUCUAUGGCCAUGCCACCCUGAACAAGCCCAGUCCCAUCUGCUCUCAGAAGCUAAGCAGGGUUGGGCCUGGUUUGUACUUGGAUGGGAGACCACCUAGGAAGAGCAGGUGCUGCAGGCG